GAGCGGAUGAAGGGAGCUUGCUCCUGGAUUCAGCGGCGGACGGGUGAGUAAUGCCUAGGAAUCUGCCUGGUAGUGGGGGACAACGUUUCGAAAGGAACGCUAAUACCGCAUACGUCCUACGGGAGAAAGCAGGGGACCUUCGGGCCUUGCGCUAUCAGAUGAGCCUAGGUCGGAUUAGCUAGUUGGUGAGGUAAUGGCUCACCAAGGCGACGAUCCGUAACUGGUCUGAGAGGAUGAUCAGUCACACUGGAACUGAGACACGGUCCAGACUCCUACGGGAGGCAGCAGUGGGGAAUAUUGGACAAUGGGCGAAAGCCUGAUCCAGCCAUGCCGCGUGUGUGAAGAAGGUCUUCGGAUUGUAAAGCACUUUAAGUUGGGAGGAAGGGUUGUAGAUUAAUACUCUGCAAUUUUGACGUUACCGACAGAAUAAGCACCGGCUAACUCUGUG
Molecule: ribosomal RNA, 448 nt
Filed under: uncultured bacterium
Lineage: Bacteria
Description: bacterial SSU rRNA
Rfam family: Bacterial small subunit ribosomal RNA
Source: RNAcentral